GAACUGCGAUAAGUAGUGUGAAUUGCAGAAUUCAGUGAAUCAUCGAGUCUUUGAACGCACAUUGCGCCCCCUGGCAUUCCGGGGGGCAUGCCUGUCCGAGCGUCAUUGCUACCCUCAAGCACGGCUUGUGUGUUGGGCCGCCGUCCGCCCCGCCCCGCGGGGGGGACGCGCCCGAAAGGCAGCGCCGGCACCGCGUCCGGUCCUCGAGCGUAUGGGGCUUCGUCACCCGCUCCGUGGGACCGGCCGGCGCCAGGCUUCGUCAACCACUUCUCGAAGAGAUAUCUAGGUUGACCUCGGAUCAGGAAGGGAUACCCGCUGAACUUAA
This 325-nucleotide unclassified non-coding RNA is filed under the name uncultured Trichocomaceae. RNAcentral describes it as "sequence contains ITS1". The stretch from base 1 to 105 matches the Rfam family "5.8S ribosomal RNA", at positions 50 to 154 of the family's 154-position model. Lineage: Eukaryota; Fungi; Ascomycota; Eurotiomycetes; Eurotiales; Trichocomaceae. The record is from RNAcentral.